GACUGGCUGAGCUUCAACAUACUCAUCAACUCUUGUUCAGAGAACAAUUGAACUCUUCAGUUUGACCCUGUGAAUGACGUCUGUCUCCUUCCUUGUGUCAAGGGGAUCAUUACUUUAACUGGCUGCAAGAGCAAGUCUUCCCAAGUGAGCAAGAAUCUGAGAAGAAUGAACUGAAAUCCACCAGGGGUCUCUGACUUAACUGAGCCAGAAACACUGCUGUAAAGGAUCAGUACCCUAAUC
Oreochromis niloticus (Nile tilapia) is the source of this 240-nucleotide long non-coding RNA. RefSeq lists it as uncharacterized. Lineage: Eukaryota; Metazoa; Chordata; Actinopteri; Cichliformes; Cichlidae. The transcript has 3 exons. The record is from RefSeq and is a predicted model, not a curated record.